GUGAGGAAUAUUGCGCAAUGGAGGCAACUCUGACGCAGCCAUGCCGCGUGCAGGAAGAAGGCCUUCGGGUUGUAAACUGCUUUUGUACGGAACGAAACGGUCCGGGUUAAUACCCUGGGCUAAUGACGGUACCGUAAGAAUAAGCACCGGCUAACUACGUGCCAGCAGCCGCGGUAAUACGUAGGGUGCAAGCGUUAAUCGGAAUUACUGGGCGUAAAGCGUGCGCAGGCGGUUUUGUAAGACAGGCGUGAAAUCCCCGGGCUCAACCUGGGAAUUGCGCUUGUGACUGCAAGGCUGGAGUGCGGCAGAGGGGGAUGGAAUUCCGCGUGUAGCAGUGAAAUGCGUAGAUAUGCGGAGGAACACCGAUGGCGAAGGCAAUCCCCUGGGCCUGCACUGACGCUCAUGCACGAAAGCGUGGGGAGCAAACAGGAUUAGAAACCCUAGUAGUCC
This 450-nucleotide ribosomal RNA is filed under the name uncultured bacterium. RNAcentral's name for it is "partial 16S ribosomal RNA". It matches the Rfam family "Bacterial small subunit ribosomal RNA", at positions 354 to 796 of the family's 1533-position model. The record is from RNAcentral.